GGUUAAGCGACUAAGCGUACACGGUGGAUGCCCUGGCAGUCAGAGGCGAUGAAGGACGUGCUAAUCUGCGAAAAGCGUCGGUAAGGUGAUAUGAACCGUUACAGCCGGCGAUGUCCGAAUGGGGAAACCCAGUGCAAUUCGUUGCACUAUCGUUAACUGAAUACAUAGGUUAACGAGGCGAACCGGGGGAACUGAAACAUCUAAGUACCCCGAGGAAAAGAAAUCAACCGAGAUUCCCCCAGUAGCGGCGAGCGAACGGGGAGCAGCCCAGAGUCUGAAUCAGCUUGUGUGUUAGUGGAACGGUCUGGAAAGUCCGACGGUACAGGGUGAUAGUCCCGUACACCAAAAUGCACAGGUUGUGAACUCGAAGAGUAGGGCGGGACACGUGGUAUCCUGUCUGAAUAUGGGGGGACCAUCCUCCAAGGCUAAAUACUCCUGACUGACCGAUAGUGAACCAGUACCGUGAGGGAAAGGCGAAAAGAACCCCGGCGAGGGGAGUGAAAAAGAACCUGAAACCGUGUACGUACAAGCAGUGGGAGCACCUUCGGGUGU
This 552-nucleotide ribosomal RNA is filed under the name Klebsiella pneumoniae. Its description in RNAcentral is "partial 23S ribosomal RNA". It matches the Rfam family "Bacterial large subunit ribosomal RNA", at positions 1 to 594 of the family's 2925-position model. Lineage: Bacteria; Pseudomonadati; Pseudomonadota; Gammaproteobacteria; Enterobacterales; Enterobacteriaceae. The record is from RNAcentral.